Molecule: ribosomal RNA, 252 nt
Filed under: uncultured bacterium
Lineage: Bacteria
Description: partial 16S ribosomal RNA
Rfam family: Bacterial small subunit ribosomal RNA
Source: RNAcentral
UACGGAGGGUGCGAGCGUUAAUCGGAAUUACUGGGCGUAAAGCGCACGCAGGCGGUUUGUUAAGCUAGAUGUGAAAGCCCCGGGCUCAACCUGGGAUGGUCAUUUAGAACUGGCAGACUAGAGUCUUGGAGAGGGGAGUGGAAUUCCAGGUGUAGCGGUGAAAUGCGUAGAUAUCUGGAGGAACAUCAGUGGCGAAGGCGACUCCCUGGCCAAAGACUGACGCUCAUGUGCGAAGGUGUGGUAGCGAACAGG